This 1224-nucleotide long non-coding RNA is filed under the name Mytilus galloprovincialis (Mediterranean mussel). Lineage: Eukaryota; Metazoa; Mollusca; Bivalvia; Mytilida; Mytilidae. The record is from RNAcentral.
CUUUACAGACCUCUCUUGUCGAUCAAGAUCUUUCCUUAAUGAGGCAGUUAUUGACGCUGAAUGAAACAAUCGAAGAGCUGAAAAACAAGAGGCUGUAUGGUGUAAGCAAAGAUUAUUUAGACGACAGUGCAGAGUAUCUCAAGGGCAGCACGUGUCAUCUGAGUAAAAGUGUGUCCACUAUGUCACUUGGCAGUGACUAUUCUUGUGAAUGUAGUGGAUCUGAAGAUGACACCGACCUGACGAAAACAGAUUUAGAUUCCAAAGACUCUGGCUUUAUCGAAUGAUUGAAUACUAACCAACAACUGUAACAGUAUAUCUGAAUAUUCUGGUCAUAUUAUCUGAAGGCAUGUGAUCCCUCGUUACAACACGGGCAACACGUGUCAGAUAAGUUAGAGUAUGACAACCAUGUCAUCAGCAGUUAAACCUCUAGUGAAUGUAGUAGUUCACAUAUGCCAGAGGACGGCACAGACAUUAAAGAGUAUGAUGCAUGAAAACACUUAUGUCUCCCGGACACGGACGAUUCUAUUUAUUCAUGCAUAAACAUUGUGGGCCUAAAUCAACGACUCAAUAUACAAGUUGGAUGAGUAGCAAGGACAAAACGCAUGGAGUUAACAGAACCAUGUGAAAUGAGAGGCAACACACAUUCUGGUUCGAUGUUUUUUGUUCUACAUCCUAGUAAGUAUAAUUACUUGAAGAAGCUUAAUGUUUUGACAUAAUAAAAUUCACAUUAUCAGGAUUAUAAUAAAUUUUGUACGCAAGUUUCGCGUUUGGUCAAAACAACAUUCAUCAGAUACCGGAAGAGAGAACCUAUAUUCAAAGGAGAUUGAUUUAUUGGUAAAUAUUUUAUAAAUAUGAACAUACUUUAUUUAAUGACUUCACCGCAACUUAACAUAUGACGUAUGCAAUUAAAUGCAUGCAAGUUUUGUGUUGAUUCAUUUUUAAAUUGAAACAAUGUACAGAGAAGUAUACGUUUUUCCUUUAUAUUAAAACAUACAUGAUUAUUUCUUUUUCAGAACAUUGCAAUACAAGAAUUGAUGCACAAGUCAUGGAUGCAGAAUAUGGGGAAAACACAAUAUGGACUCUGCGAUAUGAAUAGGAAGUGACAAAAUGGCAACAGUUUUCUAUGUGCAGUCCUAGAUUAUAUUGCUGUUUUCAUUGACAAUCUAAGAUGUUACAUGUACACACAAUUAUUGCUGUAGUACAAAUAAAGUUCCGUUUCAAUCA